AAAUUCUGCCAAUUCCUUCCAGCCUUACUCAAAUAGGGGGUGGAAGAACUACUGAAAGUAAUCCAUAAGAUUUAAUACCUUUCCGGCUAUAGUAUAGGGAAGGGCGGAAUAGAUCAUCAGAGGGUGGAAAUUUCCUCCAAUCGGAAUACUUGCUUUUCCAUAGGGAUGAAAAACUUAAUGGGGGGGAACACGCGGGAUGAGCGACAAUCGAC
Molecule: long non-coding RNA, 212 nt
Filed under: Gossypium barbadense (sea-island cotton)
Lineage: Eukaryota; Viridiplantae; Streptophyta; Magnoliopsida; Malvales; Malvaceae
Description: long non-coding RNA (GBAR_LNC020970)
Source: RNAcentral